RNAcentral lists this ribosomal RNA (863 nucleotides) under Oculimacula acuformis. Its description in RNAcentral is "partial large subunit ribosomal RNA". It matches the Rfam family "Eukaryotic large subunit ribosomal RNA", at positions 72 to 952 of the family's 3401-position model. The record is from RNAcentral. Lineage: Eukaryota; Fungi; Ascomycota; Leotiomycetes; Helotiales; Ploettnerulaceae.
GGAUUACCUCAGUAACGGCGAGUGAAGCGGUAACAGCUCAAAUUUGAAAGCUAGCUCUUUUAGGGUUCGCAUUGUAAUUUGUAGAAGAUGCUUCGGGUGUGGCCCCGGUCUAAGUUCCUUGGAACAGGACGUCAUAGAGGGUGAGAAUCCCGUAUGUGACUGGGUGCUUUCGCUCAUGUGAAGCUCUUUCGACGAGUCGAGUUGUUUGGGAAUGCAGCUCAAAAUGGGUGGUAAAUUUCAUCUAAAGCUAAAUAUUGGCCAGAGACCGAUAGCGCACAAGUAGAGUGAUCGAAAGAUGAAAAGCACUUUGGAAAGAGAGUUAAACAGUACGUGAAAUUGUUGAAAGGGAAGCGCUUGCAACCAGACUUGCGCGCUGAUGAUCAUCCGGGCUUCUGUCCGGUGCACUCGUCUGCGCUCAGGCCAGCAUCGGUUUCGGUGGUGGGAUAAAGGCCUUGGGAAUGUAGCUCCUCUCGGGGAGUGUUAUAGCCCUCGGUGCAAUGCCGCCUACCGGGACCGAGGACCGCGCUUCGGCUAGGAUGCUGGCGUAAUGGUUGUAAGCGACCCGUCUUGAAACACGGACCAAGGAGUCUAACAUCUAUGCGAGUGUUUGGGUGUCAAACCCAUACGCGUAAUGAAAGUGAACGGAGGUGAGAACCCUUAAGGGUGCAUCAUCGACCGGUCCUGAUGUCUUCGGAUGGAUCUGAGUAAGAGCAUAGCUGUUGGGACCCGAAAGAUGGUGAACUAUGCGUGAAUAGGGUGAAGCCAGAGGAAACUCUGGUGGAGGCUCGCAGCGGUUCUGACGUGCAAAUCGAUCGUCAAAUUUGCGUAUAGGGGCGAAAGACUAAUCGAACCAUCUAGUAGCU